This is a long non-coding RNA of Leptopilina boulardi, 3014 nucleotides long. RefSeq lists it as uncharacterized. The record is from RefSeq and is a predicted model, not a curated record. Lineage: Eukaryota; Metazoa; Arthropoda; Insecta; Hymenoptera; Figitidae. The transcript is spliced from 3 exons.
AUUAUUAAGUUAUAAACAUUUGAUUUUAAUGACACUUAAAAUUAGACACAAUAUUAUAGGUUACUAACUAAAAAUUGAAAAAACAACAAUAAAUAAUAAAAAAUAAUAAUAAAAAAUUGAAAAAAUCAAAAAAUUCUUAAAAAAAUGCAAAAUAACCCUUUUUCGGGUUAAAAUUGAAAAAAGAUGUUACAUAAAAAUAGUUUGUAAUAUUUUCUAACAGCAUAUAUGCAAAGUAUUUUGAUUUAUUUGAAAAUAAUUGAAAAUAGAUUUUUCAAGGACGGUGUCGAGGUCACGGGGUCGGUGUCGUUUUUCGAAAUUUGUUAACUUAAUAUAAUAGAAGAUGUUUCGUUUUAAAUUAAGAAAUGUUAAAAUUAUUAAGUUAAAAACAUUUGAUUUUAAUGACACUUAAAAUUAGACACAAUAUUAUAGGUUACUAACUAAAAUUUGAAAAAACAACAAUAAAUAAUAAAAAAUUGAAAAAAUUAAAAAAUUCUUAAAAAAUUGCAAAAUAACCCUUUUUCGGGUUAAAAUUGAAAAAAGAUGUUACAUAAAAAAAGUUUGUAAGAUUUUCUAACAGCAUAUAUGCAAAGUAUUUUGAUUUAUUUGAAAAUAAUUGAAAAUAGAUUUUUCAAGGACGGUGUCGAGGUCACGGGGUCGGUGUCGUUUUUCGAAAUUUGUUAACUUAAUAUAAUAGAAGAUGUUUCAUUUUAAAUUAAGAAAUGAUAAAAUUAUUAAGUUAAAAACAUUUGAUUUUAAUGACACUUAAAAUUAGACACAAUAUUAUAGGUUACUAACUAAAAAUUGAAAAAACAACAAUAAAUAAUAAAAAAUAAUAAUAAAAAAUUGAAAAAAUCAAAAAAUUCUUAAAAAAUUGCAAAAUAAGCUUUUUUCGGGUUAAAAUUGAAAAAAGAUGUUACAUAAAAAUAGUUUGUAAGAUUUUCUAACAGCAUAUAUGCAAAGUAUUUUGAUUUAUUUGAAAAUAGAUUUUUCAAGGACGGUGUCGAGGUCACGGGGUCGGUGUCGUUUUUCGAAAUUUGUUAACUUAAUAUAAUAGAAGAUGUUUCGUUUUAAAUUAAGAAAUGUUAAAAUUAUUAAGUUAAAAACAUUUGAUUUUCAUGACACUUAAAAUUAGACACAAUAUUAUAGGUUACUAACUAAAAUUUGAAAAAACAACAAUAAAUAAUAAAAAAUUGAAAAAAUUAAAAAAUUCUUAAAAAAUUGCAAAAUAACCCUUUUUCGGGUUAAAAUUGCAAAAAGAUGUUACAUAAAAAUAGUUUGUAAGAUUUUCUAACAGCAUAUAUGCAAAGUAUUUUGAUUUAUUUGAAAAUAAUUGAAAAUAGAUUUUUCAAGGACGUUGUCGAGGUCACGGGGUCGGUGUCGUUUUUCGAAAUUUGUUAACUUAAUAUAAUAGAAGAUGUUUCGUUUUAAAUUAAGAAAUGUUAAAAUUAUUAAGUUAAAAACAUUUGAUUUUAAUGACACUUAAAAUUAGACACAAUAUUAUAGGUUACUAACUAAAAUUUGAAAAAACAACAAUAAAUAAUAAAAAAUAAUAAUAAAAAAUUGAAAAAAUCAAAAAAUUCUUAAAAAAAUGCAAAAUAACCCUUUUUCGGGUUAAAAUUGAAAAAAGAUGUUACAUAAAAAUAGUUUGUAAGAUUUUCUAACAGCAUAUAUGCAAAGUAUUUUGAUUUAUUUAAAAAUAAUUGAAAAUAGAUUUUUCAAGGACGGUGUCGAGGUCACGGGGUCGGUGUCGUUUUUUGAAAUUUGUUAAUUUAAUAUAAUAGAAGAUGUUUCGUUUUUAAUUAAGAAAUGUUAAAAUUAUUAAGUUAAAAACAUUUGAUUUUAAUGACACUUAAAAUUAGACACAAUAUUAUAGGUUACUAACUAAAAAUUGAAAAAACAACAAUAAAUAAUAAAAAAUAAUAAUAAAAAAUUGAAAAAAUCAAAAAAUUCUUAAAAAAUUGCAAAAUAACCCUUUUUCGGGUUAAAAUUGAAAAAAGAUGUUACAUAAAAAUAGUUUGUAAGAUUUUCUAACAGCAUAUAUGCAAAGUAUUUUGAUUUAUUUAAAAAUAAUUGAAAAUAGAUUUUUCAAGGACGGUGUCGAGGUCACGGGGUCGGUGUCGUUUUUCGAAAUUUGUUAAUUUAAUAUAAUAGAAGAUGUUUCGUUUUUAAUUAAGAAAUGUUAAAAUUAUUAAGUUAAAAACAUUUGAUUUUAAUGACACUUAAAAUUAGACACAAUAUUAUAGGUUACUAACUAAAAAUUGAAAAAACAACAAUAAAUAAUAAAAAAUAAUAAUAAAAAAUUGAAAAAAUCAAAAAAUUCUUAAAAAAUUGCAAAAUAACCCUUUUUCGGGUUAAAAUUGAAAAAAGAUGUUACAUAAAAAUAGUUUGUAUGAUUUUCUAACAGCAUAUAUGCAAAGUAUUUUGAUUUAUUUAAAAAUAAUUGAAAAUAGAUUUUUCAAGGACGGUGUCGAGGUCACGGGGUCGGUGUCGUUUUUCGAAAUUUGUUAACUUAAUAUAAUAGAAGAUGUUUCUUUUUUAAUUAAGAAAUGUUAAAAUUAUUAAGUUAUAAACAUUUGAUUUUAAUGACACUUAAAAUUAGACACAAUAUUAUAGGUUACUAACUAAAAAUUGAAAAAACAACAAUAAAUAAUAAAAAAUAAUAAUAAAAAAUUGAAAAAAUCAAAAAAUUCUUAAAAAAUUGCAAAAUAACCCUUUUUCGGGUUAAAAUUUAAAAAAGAUGUUACAUAUAAAUAGUUUGUAAGAUUUUCUAACAGCAUAUAUGCAAAGUAUUUUGAUUUAUUUGAAAAUAAUUGAAAAUAGAUUUUUCAAGGACGGUGUCGAGGUCACGGGGUCGGUGUCGUUUUUCGAAAUUUGUUAAUUUAAUAUAAUAGAAGAUGUUUCGUUUUUAAUUAAGAAAUGUUAAAAUUAUUAAGUUAAAAACAUUUGAUUUUAAUGACACUUAAAAUUAGACACAAUAUUAUAGGUUACUAACUAAAAAUUGAAAAAACAACAAU